RNAcentral lists this ribosomal RNA (801 nucleotides) under Mesorhizobium sp. RNAcentral's name for it is "partial 23S ribosomal RNA". It matches the Rfam family "Bacterial large subunit ribosomal RNA", at positions 146 to 988 of the family's 2925-position model. The record is from RNAcentral. Lineage: Bacteria; Pseudomonadati; Pseudomonadota; Alphaproteobacteria; Hyphomicrobiales; Phyllobacteriaceae.
CACUAUCGUUAACUGAAUACAUAGGUUAACGAGGCGAACCGGGGGAACUGAAACAUCUAAGUACCCCGAGGAAAAGAAAUCAACCGAGAUUCCCCCAGUAGCGGCGAGCGAACGGGGAGCAGCCCAGAGUCUGAAUCAGCUUGUGUGUUAGUGGAACGGUCUGGAAAGUCCGACGGUACAGGGUGAUAGUCCCGUACACCAAAAUGCACAGGUUGUGAACUCGAAGAGUAGGGCGGGACACGUGGUAUCCUGUCUGAAUAUGGGGGGACCAUCCUCCAAGGCUAAAUACUCCUGACUGACCGAUAGUGAACCAGUACCGUGAGGGAAAGGCGAAAAGAACCCCGGCGAGGGGAGUGAAAAAGAACCUGAAACCGUGUACGUACAAGCAGUGGGAGCACCUUCGGGUGUGACUGCGUACCUUUUGUAUAAUGGGUCAGCGACUUAUAUUCUGUAGCAAGGUUAACCGUAUAGGGGAGCCGCAGGGAAACCGAGUCUUAACUGGGCGUUAAGUUGCAGGGUAUAGACCCGAAACCCGGUGAUCUAGCCAUGGGCAGGUUGAAGGUUGGGUAACACUAACUGGAGGACCGAACCGACUAAUGUUGAAAAAUUAGCGGAUGACUUGUGGCUGGGGGUGAAAGGCCAAUCAAACCGGGAGAUAGCUGGUUCUCCCCGAAAGCUAUUUAGGUAGCGCCUCGUGAAUUCAUCUUCGGGGGUAGAGCACUGUUUCGGCUAGGGGGUCAUCCCGACUUACCAACCCGAUGCAAACUACGAAUACCGAAGAAUGUUAUCACGGGAGACACA